RNAcentral lists this ribosomal RNA (253 nucleotides) under uncultured bacterium. RNAcentral describes it as "partial 16S ribosomal RNA". It matches the Rfam family "Bacterial small subunit ribosomal RNA", at positions 524 to 776 of the family's 1533-position model. The record is from RNAcentral.
UACGAAGGGGGCUAGCGUUGUUCGGAAUUACUGGGCGUAAAGGGCGCGUAGGCGGUUCUGUAAGUCAGGAGUGAAAUCCCCAGGCUCAACCUGGGAAUUGCUCUUGAGACUAUGGAGCUUGAGUGCGAGAGAGGUGAGUGGAAUUCCCAGUGUAGAGGUAAAAUUCGUAGAUAUUGGGAGGAACACCAGUGGCGAAGGCGGCUCACUGGCUCGUAACUGACGCUGAGGCGCGAAAGCGUGGGGAGCAAACAGG